GCUGGUCCCUGACGUGCUCUAUGCCUCCACGCUCAUUAUUGUUUUUUGUCGCGAGGGCAAUGAAUCGGUGGAGGUUGCUGCCUGCCAUCAAGAUGGGGCGUGCGUCGACCUCACUCGGUUACACUUGGAACAAUGGAUGCAAGUCCAACUUGCGGCCAGGAAGCGCCGAACCAGGAGGAUAACAUCACUCACACCCUGCGUGCCAUUGACCGUUCUUAAUUUGGUUCUUCUUCAAUCAACCAACCAACUCAUCACUCUCAUAUGUUCUUUCAUUGUUGCAUUCUUCAUAUCGCCACGCAAUCUCUCUAAUUACCUUGGCUUCUUCUCAGGCUGGGUGAAGCUUUCCCCUAAUCUCGCAACAAAAUUUUGGCUUUCUUCUUUUUCAUGAGAUGACUGCUCUAAACACCUUUUGUGGUUAGUGUACUACUUUACGAUGUGAGUAAUGUUUGUUUGUGUUUAAUCACAUGUCAAGUGAUGUCCAGAUUCAGAUUCUUGCGCCCCCAGAUACAAGCCAAGCAGAACGGGCCUCCACAGGCCUCGUGCACAAAGCUCGAUCAUGGCCACAGCGGCGGCGCGGUUACUCAUCGCCUGCCUCAACGUCGCCUUCUUGCUCAUGGCCUUCUUCUUCUGCGUCUCGCGCCCUGCCGUGCCGCGGGAUUCGGCGACGUCCAUGAACGGCUGGAGCGGCGACGAGCGCGAGGGGCACGGCCAUGGCGGCGGCUGCGACGGUGCUCACCGGCGGCUGGAGGUUGACAAGGACAGGUGCGGCUACGACGCCGCUACAUCAUCGUCAGUUGCCGGCCGGUGCUACCCGCGGGGACGGGGCUACGUCGAUUACCUGUACCUGUUCUACUGCGUCUGCGGCGACGAGCACCGGGCCCUUGGGUACGCCGCGAUGGCCGCGUGGCUCGCCGUGCUCUUCUACGUCCUGGGCGACACCGCGGCGGUCUACUUCUGCUCCAGCCUCGAGGGCCUCUCGCGGCUGCUCCGCCUGUCCCCGGCCGUGGCCGGCGUGACGCUCCUGUCGCUGGGCAACGGCGCGCCGGACGCGCUCUCCACCGUCGCCUCCUUCGCGUCGGGCGGCACCGGGAAGGGAGCGAGCACCGCCGUGGGGCUCAACGGCUUGCUCGGCGGCGCGCUGUUCGUGUCCUCCGCCGUGCUCGGCGUCAUCUGCCUCCGCGUCGGCGGCCGCGGCGUCGCCAUCGACAGAGGCAGCUUCUUCCGGGACGCGUGCUUCCUCCUCAUCGCCCUCGCCGCCGUCGCCGUUGUCCUCGCCGCGGGCGAGGUCAGCAUUUGGGGCGCCCUCGCCUUCACCUCCCUCUACCUCGUAUACGUCCUCGUCGUCGUCUUUAUCCACGGCAGAUCGCACGACGGAGAGGCAGAGGCGGCGUGGGUCGACACCACCGCCUCGUCGGAGCUCUGCAACGUCGUGGAGACGGAUUUUUACCCCGACCAAGAACCGCUGCUCCCCGAAAGGGCGCCCCUCCUGCAGUACUACGCCGGCGACGCAACGAAGAAAAAGAAGGGCGUGUUCUGGUCGGCGGUGCGCGUGCUGGAGCUACCUCUGUACCUCCCGCGGCGGCUGACCAUACCGGACGCGAGCGAGGAGCGGUGGAGCAAGCCGGCCGCGGUCGCCGCGGCGACCCUUUCCCCUGUCUUCCUCUCUUGCCUCUGGAGCCACGCCACCGGGAGCCCGCCCCUCGCCCUCCUCCUCGGCGGCAUCGCCGGCCUGUCCCUGGGCCUCCUCGCCUUCCUCAGCACGGAGGCUGAUGCCCCGCCGACGAAAUUCCUCUCGGCCUGGCUCGCCGGUGGGUUCGUCAUGAGCGUGGCCUGGGAGUACGUCAUCGCGAACGAGCUCCUCUCCCUUCUUGUGUCCGCCGGCCUGGUGCUGGGUGUGGAUCCGGCGACGCUGGGGAUGACAGUUCUAGCAUGGGGCAACUCGCUGGGCGACCUCAUCGCGAACGUGGCCGUGGCCGUGGCGGCGCGCCGCGGUGGAGCCCAGGUGGCCGUAGCAGGUUGCUACGGCGGGCCGGUGUUCAACGUCCUCGUGGGGCUGGGCCUGUCUCUGUUGCUGUCUUGCUGGGCCGGGUACCCGAAGCCCGUAGCGAUACCCUGGGAGCCCAGGCUCUACCAGACGCUAGGCUGGGUGGCUGCUGGGCUUUUGUGGGCCUUCUUCAUGCUCCCGAGAAGGGGCAUGAAGGUGGGUAGGACACUGGGCUUUGGGCUCCUGGCCAUAUACUUGUGUUUCUUGUGUACUACUCCCUCCCUUUUUGCUUAAUUUAAAGGGUCCAACUCAAAAGAAAGUAUGAGUGGUAGAACAAAUUUUGUACAUUGCAAAACUGCCCAAUUAGCAUGUUUUUUUCUCAAAAAAGGUGUGUUUCUUGGUGCUUUAUUCUGCAUUAACUGCAGUGCAUGCAUAUGUGGGCACUAAAUGAGCGG
RNAcentral lists this ribosomal RNA (2439 nucleotides) under Triticum aestivum (bread wheat). Its description in RNAcentral is "partial small subunit ribosomal RNA". Lineage: Eukaryota; Viridiplantae; Streptophyta; Magnoliopsida; Poales; Poaceae. The record is from RNAcentral.